UGAUAAUUAGUUUAAAUCAAAACAAGUGAUUUCGACUCACUAAAUUGUGCACU
RNAcentral lists this transfer RNA (53 nucleotides) under Callosciurus caniceps bimaculatus. RNAcentral describes it as "partial tRNA-Arg". The record is from RNAcentral. Lineage: Eukaryota; Metazoa; Chordata; Mammalia; Rodentia; Sciuridae.